This 253-nucleotide ribosomal RNA is filed under the name uncultured bacterium. RNAcentral describes it as "partial 16S ribosomal RNA". It matches the Rfam family "Bacterial small subunit ribosomal RNA", at positions 524 to 776 of the family's 1533-position model. The record is from RNAcentral.
UACGUAGGGGGCAAGCGUUGUCCGGAUUUAUUGGGCGUAAAGAGCGUGUAGGCGGUUAGGUAGGUCCGUUGUGAAAACUCGAGGCUCAACCUCGAGACGCCGAUGGAAACCAUCUGACUAGAGUCCGGAAGAGGAGAGUGGAAUUCCUGGUGUAGCGGUGGAAUGCGCAGAUAUCAGGAGGAACACCGGUGGCGAAGGCGGGUCUCUGGGCAGUAACUGACGCUGAGGAGCGAAAGCGUGGGGAGCGAACAGG